CGGAACGUGCCUAGUAGUGGGGGAUAACUACUCGAAAGAGUAGCUAAUACCGCAUGAGAUCUAAGGAUGAAAGCAGGGGACCUUCGGGCCUUGCGCUACUAGAGCGGCUGAUGGCAGAUUAGGUAGUUGGUGGGAUAAAAGCUUACCAAGCCGACGAUCUGUAGCUGGUCUGAGAGGACGACCAGCCACACUGGGACUGAGACACGGCCCAGACUCCUACGGGAGGCAGCAGUGGGGAAUUUUGGACAAUGGGCGAAAGCCUGAUCCAGCAAUGCCGCGUGUAGGAUGAAGGCCCUCGGGUUGUAAACUACUUUUGUACGGAACGAAAAGCUCUCUUCUAGUAAAGGAGAGUGAUGACGGUACCGUAAGAAUAAGCACCGGCUAACUACGUGCCAGCAGCCGCGGUAAUACGUAGGGUGCGAGCGUUAAUCGGAAUUACUGGGCGUAAAGCGUGCGCAGGCGGUUAUGUAAGACAGAGGUGAAAUCCCCGGGCUCAACCUGGGAACGGCCUUUGUGACUGCAUAGCUAGAGUACGGUAGAGGGGGAUGGAAUUCCGCGU
Molecule: ribosomal RNA, 559 nt
Filed under: uncultured bacterium
Lineage: Bacteria
Description: bacterial SSU rRNA
Rfam family: Bacterial small subunit ribosomal RNA
Source: RNAcentral